AACGAACGCUGGCGGCAUGCCUAACACAUGCAAGUCGAACGAGACCUUCGGGUCUAGUGGCGCACGGGUGCGUAACGCGUGGGAACCUGCCCUUAGGUUCGGAAUAACUCCCCGAAAGGGGUGCUAAUACCGGAUAAUGUCUUCGGACCAAAGAUUUAUCGCCGUUGGAUGGGCCCGCGUUGGAUUAGCUAGUUGGUAGGGUAAAAGCCUACCAAGGCGACGAUCCAUAGCUGGUCUGAGAGGAUGAUCAGCGACACUGGGACUGAGACACGGCCCAGACUCCUACGGGAGGCAGCAGUGGGGAAUAUUGGACAAUGGGCGAAGGCCUGAUCCAGCAAGGCCGCGUGAGUGAUGAAGGCCUUAGGGUUGUAAAGCUCUUUUAACCGGGAUGAUAAUGACAGUACCGGGAGAAUAAGCUCCGGCUAACUCCGUG
Molecule: ribosomal RNA, 433 nt
Filed under: uncultured bacterium
Lineage: Bacteria
Description: partial 16S ribosomal RNA
Rfam family: Bacterial small subunit ribosomal RNA
Source: RNAcentral